AGAGGAGUCUUUACACAAUCGGGGAUGAUCAAAUGACCCAAGCUCACACCAGCCUACUGCCUAGUAUCAGGAUCGAUGACUCUCUGGAGCAGCGCGAAGACACUAUUAAAGCCCGCUAUCUUGUCCCUCCAUAUGCUCCAAAUGACCACGGAGAUAAAAGCAUUCACAAUUUUCUUUCGCCCACCCUGCAUUCUUGACCUAGCAUCCUGCCACCGGACACGAAGAGCAAGAUCAGUAGGAGUGACCUCGUUUCAGAAUCAUUCUAAAAAAAUACCUAAAGUCUGUCAAUAUAGACGAAAACAAAAUUCUUGAGUACUUACCGAGGCUUCUCUAUGUAAACUGGAAGAGAGACAAAAAUCAGACAUCGCAACAUAUAAAAUCCCAUGAAAAUGUGUUGCUCAACAGUUCUUCCAGUUGGUGUAUUCUCAUAUUCCAGGGAAACAUGAAAUUCAUACAAAAUGAAAAACCUAGGACAUGGCUGGGUAUAGUCUUUAAGACAAAACCAGGAUUUCACUAAUCAACACAGGACAGCAAAGCACAAAUUUUGAGUGUUCAGAGUAAGCACAAAAUUUGGAGAGCCAGAUUGCAUAAAAGUUGACAAAAGGUCACUUGAUUAGCCUAUAAACGCAGGAGAAGUCAAAUUCUAAGUAAUUUUUUCUCCUCCAUAAGUGCUUACAUCAUACAGCUCACCUCGACAACCCAAAAAGUAGUCUUUGCUGUAACAACAAAAAGAACAAACUUGUAGGGAAAGAUCCCUCCAUCUUCAAGCAACAUCCUUGAAAGGCUUAGUUAUUC
This 795-nucleotide long non-coding RNA is filed under the name Triticum aestivum (bread wheat). RNAcentral's name for it is "long non-coding RNA (TAES_LNC018200)". The record is from RNAcentral. Lineage: Eukaryota; Viridiplantae; Streptophyta; Magnoliopsida; Poales; Poaceae.